GAGAGCGUGGUGUAAUUGGCAACAUUCCGGAAUCCAAGUCCGGUAGAUCCGGGUUCAAAUCCUGGCGCUCUUGCCA
RNAcentral lists this transfer RNA (76 nucleotides) under Acidobacteriota bacterium. RNAcentral describes it as "Acidobacteria bacterium (bioreactor metagenome) tRNA-Trp". It matches the Rfam family "tRNA". From Rfam's summary of the family: Transfer RNA (tRNA) molecules are approximately 80 nucleotides in length. Their secondary structure includes four short double-helical elements and three loops (D, anti-codon, and T loops). Lineage: Bacteria; Pseudomonadati; Acidobacteriota. The record is from RNAcentral.